UAGAAAGUAGUAUAAUUGGUAUAACAGAGAACUUUGAUUUCUCCAAUACAAGUUCAACCCUUAUCUUUCUAA
RNAcentral lists this transfer RNA (72 nucleotides) under Mediaster aequalis. RNAcentral describes it as "tRNA-Gln". It matches the Rfam family "tRNA". Rfam says of the family: Transfer RNA (tRNA) molecules are approximately 80 nucleotides in length. The record is from RNAcentral. Lineage: Eukaryota; Metazoa; Echinodermata; Asteroidea; Valvatida; Goniasteridae.